GUAAUUCCUUUAGUAGUAAGGUUUAUAGCUUGUUUGCGAAGAACUUAAAAUCCCUCGGUGGCAACACCGUGCCGGUUCGAUUCCGGCCCUGGGCACCA
This 98-nucleotide transfer RNA is filed under the name Gammaproteobacteria bacterium. Its description in RNAcentral is "tRNA-OTHER". Lineage: Bacteria; Pseudomonadati; Pseudomonadota; Gammaproteobacteria. The record is from RNAcentral. RNAcentral also lists the same sequence under 1 other name.